This 516-nucleotide long non-coding RNA is filed under the name Apteryx rowi (Okarito brown kiwi). Its description in RNAcentral is "lncRNA (ENSARWG00000016963.1)". The record is from RNAcentral. Lineage: Eukaryota; Metazoa; Chordata; Aves; Apterygiformes; Apterygidae.
GGGCCUUUUGAUGUUUAUCUGGAACUUCUGGUUUAUAGUAGGGAUACAUAUUUGCUUUUGGUUGAGUGAAAUUUUUAUGCCUGGCGUUUUGUUUCAAGGGAAAGUGAGAUCUCACCAGAUUUGACCCAUAGAGGAUGAGAAUUAGAAUAUUGUACAGAAGGUAUAAGUGAAACCAAAGGAUAUGGAUUCAAGAUGAAAACAGAGAGGAAGAGCAUCAUGGGCUUGUGGUAUCCAUUUAGUUCAAAAUUUCUCCCAAUACCACUUUGCUGGUUAUUGAAGAGCUUUGACUAAAUGAAGCUAUCAAGUGAAAACCAAUAUGGCCAGGGAUGAAGGUGUAUCCAGGUGGGAAAUCUUAGCUACAGUAGCUGUCUCAGAAAACUUUUUGACCCAAACAAUCAUCAGAAGAAACAAAUGCCUUGAAAGUAGUCCUUGUGGUUUGUACAUGGUAAGCACAUCCGAAUCUCCAGGCUAACAAGAACAGUUCCUUAUAGGCUGACAUUCAUUUUCCAGGCCUAA